Molecule: long non-coding RNA, 452 nt
Organism: Sinocyclocheilus anshuiensis
Lineage: Eukaryota; Metazoa; Chordata; Actinopteri; Cypriniformes; Cyprinidae
Exons: 4
Source: RefSeq, a predicted model, not a curated record
GAUUCUGCCUCCGUGGGCAAAAGGAGACCCGAGAGAGUUCAUCAGAGUUCACAGAGAGGCUUUGGAGUGUGACUAUGUCAGCGCCCAUCUGCAUGAAUGGAUCGACCUGAUAUUUGGAUACAAGCAGCAGGGUCCUCCAGCGGUGGAAGCAGUCAAUGUCUUCCACCAUCUCUUCUAUGAGGGUCAGGUGGACAUCUACAACAUUAAUGACCCACUUAAAGAAACAGCUACCAUUGGAUUCAUCAACAACUUUGGCCAGAUCCCAAAACAGCUGUUCAAGAAGCCCCAUCCUCCAAAGCGGGUGCGCAGUAAGUCAAACGGAGAGGUACCUGGUGUACCUGUUACACUCAACUCCAGCUUAGACAAGUUCUUCUUCCAUCACUUGGACAACUUGCGGCCCUCUCUCACCCCUGUCAAAGAGCUGAAGGAGCCAGUGGGUCAGAUAGUGUGCA